Molecule: ribosomal RNA, 285 nt
Filed under: Escherichia coli
Lineage: Bacteria; Pseudomonadati; Pseudomonadota; Gammaproteobacteria; Enterobacterales; Enterobacteriaceae
Description: partial 16S ribosomal RNA
Rfam family: Bacterial small subunit ribosomal RNA
Source: RNAcentral
AAGAGAAGCGACCUCGCGAGAGCAAGCGGACCUCAUAAAGUGCGUCGUAGUCCGGAUUGGAGUCUGCAACUCGACUCCAUGAAGUCGGAAUCGCUAGUAAUCGUGGAUCAGAAUGCCACGGUGAAUACGUUCCCGGGCCUUGUACACACCGCCCGUCACACCAUGGGAGUGGGUUGCAAAAGAAGUAGGUAGCUUAACCUUCGGGAGGGCGCUUACCACUUUGUGAUUCAUGACUGGGGUGAAGUCGUAACAAGGUAACCGUAGGGGAACCUGCGGUUGGAUCAC